This 600-nucleotide ribosomal RNA is filed under the name uncultured bacterium. RNAcentral describes it as "bacterial SSU rRNA". It matches the Rfam family "Bacterial small subunit ribosomal RNA", at positions 1 to 655 of the family's 1533-position model. The record is from RNAcentral.
UAGAGUUUGAUCAUGGCUCAGAACGAACGCUGGCGACAGGCUUAACACAUGCAAGUCGAGCGCCCCGCAAGGGGAGCGGCAGACGGGUGAGUAACGCGUGGGAAUCUACCCAUCCCUACGGAAUAACGCAUGGAAACGUGUGCUAAUACCGUAUACGCCCUUAGGGGGAAAGAUUUAUCGGGGAUGGAUGAGCCCGCGUUGGAUUAGCUAGUUGGUGGGGUAAAGGCCUACCAAGGCGACGAUCCAUAGCUGGUCUGAGAGGAUGAUCAGCCACAUUGGGACUGAGACACGGCCCAAACUCCUACGGGAGGCAGCAGUGGGGAAUAUUGGACAAUGGGCGCAAGCCUGAUCCAGCCAUGCCGCGUGAGUGAUGAAGGCCUUAGGGUUGUAAAGCUCUUUCACCGAUGAAGAUAAUGACGGUAGUCGGAGAGGAAGCCCCGGCUAACUUCGUGCCAGCAGCCGCGGUAAUACGAAGGGGGCUAGCGUUGUUCGGAAUUACUGGGCGUAAAGCGCAUGUAGGCGGAUAUUUAAGUCAGGGGUGAAAUCCCAGAGCUCAACUCUGGAACUGCCUUUGAUACUGGGUAUCUUGAGUAUGGAAGA